RNAcentral lists this ribosomal RNA (465 nucleotides) under Vreelandella stevensii. Its description in RNAcentral is "partial 16S ribosomal RNA". It matches the Rfam family "Bacterial small subunit ribosomal RNA", at positions 338 to 795 of the family's 1533-position model. The record is from RNAcentral. Lineage: Bacteria; Pseudomonadati; Pseudomonadota; Gammaproteobacteria; Oceanospirillales; Halomonadaceae.
CCUACGGGGGGCUGCAGUGGGGAAUAUUGGACAAUGGGGGCAACCCUGAUCCAGCCAUGCCGCGUGUGUGAAGAAGGCCCUCGGGUUGUAAAGCACUUUCAGUGAGGAAGAACGCCUGGUGGUUAAUACCCAUCAGGAAAGACAUCACUCAUAGAAGAAGCACCGGCUAACUCCGUGCCAGCAGCCGCGGUAAUACGGAGGGUGCGAGCGUUAAUCGGAAUUACUGGGCGUAAAGCGCGCGUAGGUGGCUUGAUAAGCCGGUUGUGAAAGCCCCGGGCUCAACCUGGGAACGGCAUCCGGAACUGUCAAGCUAGAGUGCAGGAGAGGAAGGUAGAAUUCCCGGUGUAGCGGUGAAAUGCGUAGAGAUCGGGAGGAAUACCAGUGGCGAAGGCGGCCUUCUGGACUGACACUGACACUGAGGUGCGAAAGCGUGGGUAGCAAACAGGAUUAGAUACCCUUGUAGUC